This 453-nucleotide ribosomal RNA is filed under the name uncultured Allobrachymonas sp. RNAcentral's name for it is "bacterial SSU rRNA". It matches the Rfam family "Bacterial small subunit ribosomal RNA", at positions 923 to 1382 of the family's 1533-position model. The record is from RNAcentral. Lineage: Bacteria; Pseudomonadati; Pseudomonadota; Betaproteobacteria; Burkholderiales; Comamonadaceae.
GCACAAGCGGUGGAUGAUGUGGUUAAUUCGAUGCAACGCGAAAACCUUACCACCUUUGACAUGGCAGGAAUCCCGAAGAGAUUUGGGAGUGCUCGAAAGAGAACCUGCACACAGGUGCUGCAUGGCUGUCGUCAGCUCGUGUCGUGAGAUGUUGGGUUAAGUCCCGCAACGAGCGCAACCCUUGCCAUUAGUUGCUACGAAAGGGCACUCUAAUGGGACUGCCGGUGACAAACCGGAGGAAGGUGGGGAUGACGUCAAAUCAUCAUGCCCCUUAUGUCUUGGGCUUCACGCAUGCUACAAUGGCCGGUACAAAGGGCUGCGAUACCGCGAGGUGGAGCGAAUCCCAGAAAGCCGGUCUCAGUUCGGAUUGGGGUCUGCAACUCGACCCCAUGAAGUCGGAGUCGCUAGUAAUCGCAGAUCAGCAACGCUGCGGUGAAUACGUUCCCGGGCCUU